RNAcentral lists this ribosomal RNA (752 nucleotides) under Symbiodinium sp. CCMP2430. RNAcentral's name for it is "partial Bacterial large subunit ribosomal RNA". It matches the Rfam family "Bacterial large subunit ribosomal RNA", at positions 1083 to 1829 of the family's 2925-position model. Lineage: Eukaryota; Dinophyceae; Suessiales; Symbiodiniaceae. The record is from RNAcentral.
GCAUAGACAGCUAGGAGGUUGGCUUAGAAGCAGCCACCCUUUAAAGAAAGCGUAAUAGCUCACUAGUCGAGUCGGCCUGCGCGGAAGAUGUACCGGGGCUUAAGCCAUAUACCGAAGCUAUGGAUGCACUUAGUGCAUGGUAGAGGAGCGUUGUGUAAGUCUGCGAAGGUGUGCUGAGAGGCAUGCUGGAGAUAUCACAAGUGCGAAUGCUGACAUGAGUAACGAUAAAGGGGGUGAGAGGCCCCCUCGCCGAAAAUCCAAGGUUUCCUGCUCAACGCUAAUCGGAGCAGGGUGAGUCGGCCCCUAAGGCGAGGCAGAAAUGCGUAGUCGAUGGGAAACGGGUUAAUAUUCCCGUACUUGUUAUUACUGCGAUGGGAUGACGGAGAAGGUUAGGUCAGCCAACUGUUGGAUAUGUUGGUUUAACUGUGUAGGCGUGCUGCUUAGGUAAAUCCGGGCGGCUUAGCUGAGACAGGAUGACGAGCUCCAUUUGGAGCGAAGUGAUUGAUACCCGGCUUCCAGGAAAAGUCUCUAAGCUUCAGGUAAUAACAAACCGUACCCCAAACCGACACAGGUGGAUAGGAUGAGAAUUCCAAGGCGCUUGAGAGAACUCUGGUGAAGGAACUAGGCAAAAUAGCACCGUAACUUCGGGAGAAGGUGUGCCCUUGAGGUGAAGCGACUUGCUCGUGGAGCUGGAGAGGGUUGCAGUGACCAGGUGGCUGCGACUGUUUAUUAAAAACACAGCACUCUGCAAA